GUGCCAGACUCCUACGGGAGGCAGCAGUGAGGAAUAUUGGUCAAUGGGCGGGAGCCUGAACCAGCCAAGCCGCGUGAGGGAAGAAGGUACAGCGUAUCGUAAACCUCUUUUGUCAGGGAACAAAGGCGGGGACUAGUCCCCGGAUGAGGGUACCUGAAGAAAAAGCAUCGGCUAACUCCGUGCCAGCAGCCGCGGUAAUACGGAGGAUGCGAGCGUUAUCCGGAUUUAUUGGGUUUAAAGGGUGCGCAGGGGGCCUGUUAAGUCAGCGGUAAAGGCCGGGGGCUCACCCCCGGCGAGCCGUUGAAACUGGGUGCCUUGAGUGGGCGAGAAGUACGCGGAAUGCGUGGUGUAGCGGUGAAAUGCAUAGAUAUCACGCAGAACUCCGAUUGCGAAGGCAGCGUACCGGCGCCCAACUGACGCUGAAGCACGAAGGCGUGGGUAUCGAACAGGAUUAGAUACCCCCGUACG
RNAcentral lists this ribosomal RNA (468 nucleotides) under uncultured bacterium. Its description in RNAcentral is "bacterial SSU rRNA". It matches the Rfam family "Bacterial small subunit ribosomal RNA", at positions 328 to 793 of the family's 1533-position model. The record is from RNAcentral.